This is a long non-coding RNA of Hemibagrus wyckioides, 646 nucleotides long. RefSeq lists it as uncharacterized. The record is from RefSeq and is a predicted model, not a curated record. Lineage: Eukaryota; Metazoa; Chordata; Actinopteri; Siluriformes; Bagridae. The transcript is spliced from 3 exons.
CAUUCAGCUACUGAGAGAACUUUUCACUUUGUGUUUUAAUCUUCUUAAAGUUCCUAUAAAUCUGUUAAUAAAUAAAAACUAAAGAGGUUUUCUCUUCAAUUCUCUCAGUGUGUUCCAACGCCUGGAGAUGACACAUACACAGCGCUGAACCUCAUGACUGUGUCCCCAGAAUAUGACACACUGCAAAAUAUUAAAAGCUCUGCCAGUGACACUUACACCACCCUGAACCCUGCACCCAUGUGCUCUGAUUAUGAUACACUGAGGAAGUGAAACAACCUGCAACCACAGUCUCUGGGAGUAAGUGUGUACUCUAUAAGUGUGUGUUUGUGCAAAAGGAUGUUUGUUUAAGGACUGAAGUUGCAAAAAGAAUUUCUGUCUCAUGUAAAAGUCAUUCAUUUGUGUCCGUUCACUCGGUUCUGUAAUGUUGACUAAAAUUGUUGUUAAUGUCUUUGUAUUUAGUUAUUUAAACAUUUUAAAUACUUUGAUGUCAUUUGUUAUUUUUAUGUCUUGUAAACUAGAACAAAAUGAUGAUAAAGUAAGGAAUACACACCUCCCUGUACAGAAAUUCUAUUUUGCCUGAUGUGUUACUGUCCAGUGUUUAAAAUGUUUCUAUGUACAAGAAUAAAAUUGAGCUUAUGGGCGUUUU